Molecule: long non-coding RNA, 1208 nt
Filed under: Apteryx haastii (Great spotted kiwi)
Lineage: Eukaryota; Metazoa; Chordata; Aves; Apterygiformes; Apterygidae
Description: lncRNA (ENSAHAG00000016404.1)
Source: RNAcentral
ACAUUGGAGGACUGUGCUCUACUGCCUUGGAGGACCCCUGCCUACUGCCCUAGAGAACUCUUUGCUCGCCCUGGAGGACCUCAGCCAAUCUUGGAGGACUUAGGCCUACUCUGGAGAACCUCAGCCUAACUUGGAGAAUCUCAAGUCUACUGCCCUGGAGGACCUGGGCACUCUCUAUCCACCCUGGAAGACCCUCUGCUUGUCUUGGAGGACCCAGACACUUCCAGCCCACCCUAGAGGAUGGAGGACUCUCUGCCCACCUUGGAGGACCCAGGCACUCCCAGCCCACCUUGGAGGACUCUCUACCCACCCUGGAGAACCUGGGCACUCCCAGCCCACCCUGGGGAACUUUCUGCCUACCCUGGAGGACCCAGGCACUCUCUGCCCACCCUGGAGGACCUGGACACUCUCUGCUUGGCUUGGAGAACCCAGACACUCCCUACCCACUCUGGGGAACUCUCUGCCCACUCUGGAGGACCCAGACACUCUCUAUCCACUCUGAAAGACUCUCUACUUGUCUUGUAAGACCCGGGCACUCCCAGCCCACCCUGGAGGACUCUCUGCUCACCCUGGAGGACCCAGGCACUCUCUAUCCACCCUGGAGGACCCAGGCACUUCCAGCCCACCCUAGAGGAUGGAGGACUCUCUGCCCACCUUGGAGGACCCAGGCACUCCCAGCCCACCCUGGGGAACUUUCUGCCUACCCUGGAGGACCUGGACACUCUCUACUUGUCUUAGAGAACCCAGACACUCCCUACCCACCCUGGAAGACUCUCUGCCCACCCUGGAGGACUCUCUGCCCACCCUGGAGGACCCAGGUACACUCUACCCACCCAGAAGGACUCUCUGCCCAUCCUGGAGAACCGAGGCACUCCCAACCCACCCUGGAAGACUCUCUGCUCACCCUGGAGGACCCAAGUACACUCUACCCACCCAGGAGGACUCUCUACCCACCCAGGAGGACCCAGACACUCUCUGCCCACCCUGGAGGACCUGGACACUCCCAGCCCACCCUAGAGAACUCUCUGCCUGUCUUGGAGGACCCAGGCACUCCCGUCCCGUCCCCCCCCCGGAGCACCCGCGGGGCCCUGCCCACCUGUAGGCCCGCCCRCGGGGGCGGCUGUAGCCGCUGUAGAAGCGGGCCCGGGCCGCGCUGUAGCCGCCGCCGCGGCCCCGGUAGCGGGCGCGGGGGAAACCCCGGUCCGUCG